This 253-nucleotide ribosomal RNA is filed under the name uncultured bacterium. RNAcentral's name for it is "partial 16S ribosomal RNA". It matches the Rfam family "Bacterial small subunit ribosomal RNA", at positions 524 to 776 of the family's 1533-position model. The record is from RNAcentral.
UACGAAGGGGGCUAGCGUUGUUCGGAAUUACUGGGCGUAAAGCGCACGUAGGCGGAUCGAUCAGUCAGGGGUGAAAUCCCAGGGCUCAACCCUGGAACUGCCUUUGAUACUGUCGAUCUUGAGUCCGGGAGAGGUGAGUGGAACUCCGAGUGUAGAGGUGAAAUUCGUAGAUAUUCGGAAGAACACCAGUGGCGAAGGCGGCUCACUGGCCCGGUACUGACGCUGAGGUGCGAAAGCGUGGGGAGCAAACAGG